This is a non-coding RNA of Hordeum vulgare subsp. vulgare (domesticated barley), 136 nucleotides long. NCBI's taxonomy places the organism in Eukaryota, Viridiplantae, Streptophyta, Magnoliopsida, Poales, Poaceae. The record is from Rfam.
GUUAUACUCCCUCCGUCCCAAAAUUAUUGUCUUAGAUUUGUUUAUAUAUAAAUGUAUCUAGUCAUGUUUUAGUAUUUACAUACAUCUAUUUCUAGACAAAUCUAUGACAAGAAUUUUGGGACGAAGGGAGUAUAAC